AUGUUGGGUCUGGCGGCGAUCGAUCGAGCCAGAAAGCGUCAAGCUUCUCGUCUGAUCUGGCUCAGGGCGGGGGACGCAGGAACCAAAUUCUUCCAUGCGAAGAUGCGAUCUCGCAGACGGAAAACCCACAUCCACAGCCUGAAGGUGGGCGACGGGAUCAUCACAGCCCAUGAGGAAAAAGAAGCUGCCAUCUUCAACCACUUCCAUGAUAACAUUAGGACCAAGACGGCGCGCUCGGCCGGCAUCAAUUGGCAUUUAGUUGAGAUGCCCUCGAUCCAAGCGAGCGGUCUUGACAACCCCUUCUCAGAAGAGGAAAUU
This 318-nucleotide ribosomal RNA is filed under the name Triticum aestivum (bread wheat). RNAcentral's name for it is "partial small subunit ribosomal RNA". The record is from RNAcentral. Lineage: Eukaryota; Viridiplantae; Streptophyta; Magnoliopsida; Poales; Poaceae.